Molecule: long non-coding RNA, 551 nt
Filed under: Pandoravirus salinus
Description: putative ncRNA
Source: RNAcentral
UGACACGAUGGCGCCAACUAACCAAAGUAUGCCCCUCCAUAAGCACGGCCGCCGGCGUCCCCCUUGACAAUGUUGCCGAGCGAGAGCCAACCCAAUGUCGCGCACACGGGAAUCGCGACUACGCCACAGACGGGCGACAGGACAAAGGCAAACAGAGGGCAGAUGCCCAUCGCCCCUGUCGCGGCGCCGAAAAACCCUCUGCGCGCCGCGCCAAACAUCAUGCCGCCACACGAACCUCUAGAGUCGCCAGUGCUCACGCUCAGCCAUGCACCAGUCACGCCUCCUCCAAUGAGAAGGGCGACGGCGGCCGCGGCCGCGGCGUCGGAUUCAGGCGGGCGGCAUUGUGGCAGGCGACACGCCGAUGGACGCCUCUGGAGGGCGCCCGCGGAAUGCCUGGUGGCGUGACGUCCGACGGGACGGAAGGCGGCUAGUGAGGUCGUGGCGCGGCGCAUGAUCAAAGGUCCAGUCUACCGGUGUUUAUUUGGUCUCGAUGUUGGGCGCGUCGACCAAGAAAAAGGUUGUGCGUUGACUAUCCAUCGAUUCGCUCUGUC